This 488-nucleotide ribosomal RNA is filed under the name uncultured bacterium. RNAcentral describes it as "bacterial SSU rRNA". It matches the Rfam family "Bacterial small subunit ribosomal RNA", at positions 310 to 796 of the family's 1533-position model. The record is from RNAcentral.
ACACUGGUACUGAGACACGGACCAGACUCCUACGGGAGGCAGCAGUGAGGAAUAUUGGUCAAUGGCCGAGAGGCUGAACCAGCCAAGUCGCGUGAGGGAAGAAUGUCCUAAGGAUUGUAAACCUCUUUUGUCGGGGAGCAAAAAGGCUCUGCGGAGUCGUAUUGAGAGUACCCGAAGAAAAAGCAUCGGCUAACUCCGUGCCAGCAGCCGCGGUAAUACGGAGGAUGCGAGCGUUAUCCGGAUUUAUUGGGUUUAAAGGGUGCGCAGGCGGCGUGUCAAGCAAGCGGUAAAAUAGCGGGGCUCAACCCCGUCGAGCCGUUUGAACUGGCGCGCUUGAGUUCAGGCGAGGUAGGCGGAAUUCGUGGUGUAGCGGUGAAAUGCAUAGAUAUCACGAAGAACUCCGAUUGCGAAGGCAGCUUACCAGUCUGCGACUGACGCUCAGGCACGAAAGUGUGGGUAUCGAACAGGAUUAGAUACCCUGGUAGUCC